Molecule: ribosomal RNA, 460 nt
Filed under: uncultured bacterium
Lineage: Bacteria
Description: partial 16S ribosomal RNA
Rfam family: Bacterial small subunit ribosomal RNA
Source: RNAcentral
CCUACGGGAGGCAGCAGUGAGGAAUAUUGGUCAAUGGACGAGAGUCUGAACCAGCCAAGUAGCGUGAAGGAUGACUGCCCUAUGGGUUGUAAACUUCUUUUAUCAAGGAAUAAAACGAGGCAAGUGUGCCUUUUUGCAUGUCCUUUAUGAAUAAGGAUCGGCUAACUCCGUGCCAGCAGCCGCGGUAAUACGGAGGAGCCGAGCGUUAUCCGGAUUUAUUGGGGUUAAAGGGAGCGUAGAUGGGUUGUUAAGUCAGUUGUGAAAGUUUGCGGCUCAACCGUAAAAUUGCAUUUGAUACUGGCAGUCGUGAGUACAGAUGAGGUAGGCGGAAUUCGUGGUGUAGCGGUGAAAUGCUUAGAUAUCACGAAGAACCCAGAUUGCGAAGGCAGCUUACUAAGCUGUGACUGACAUUGAUGCUCGAAAGUGUGGGUAUCAAACAGGAUUAGAUACCCUGGUAGUC